UUCAUUAUCCAUUUGUUAAUUUCAUGAAAAAUGAAGCAAGUUAUGACCAAAAUAAGAAUGAGUGUUGUUGUUGUUCUUGAAUAAGCCCAUAUCUCAUCACAGUCGACCGUUCCAUUUUUCUGAUGCAUUCUGCAUGUGCCACGUGGCGCUUAGAGACUGGUCCGCUUUUCCCAACCUCAUUUUGCUUUUUCUUAUUUUUUUACUAUUUUUUUAUGUGUGGGUCUUAGGCCACCCAUUUGCCAAUAUUUCUUUUAUUUUUGC
RNAcentral lists this long non-coding RNA (261 nucleotides) under Lathyrus oleraceus (garden pea). RNAcentral's name for it is "Pisum sativum (pea) long non-coding RNA (PSAT_LNC038989)". Lineage: Eukaryota; Viridiplantae; Streptophyta; Magnoliopsida; Fabales; Fabaceae. The record is from RNAcentral.